GCGCUCGUGGCCAAGCUGGUUAAGGCAGGGGACUUUUAAUCCUCCAUCGUGAGUUCGAAUCUCACCGAGCGCACCA
This 76-nucleotide transfer RNA is filed under the name Hyphomicrobiaceae bacterium TMED74. Its description in RNAcentral is "tRNA-Lys". It matches the Rfam family "tRNA". Rfam says of the family: Transfer RNA (tRNA) molecules are approximately 80 nucleotides in length. Their secondary structure includes four short double-helical elements and three loops (D, anti-codon, and T loops). Lineage: Bacteria; Pseudomonadati; Pseudomonadota; Alphaproteobacteria; Hyphomicrobiales; Hyphomicrobiaceae. The record is from RNAcentral. RNAcentral also lists the same sequence under 1 other name.